CCUACGGGGGGCAGCAGUCGAGAAUCAUUCACAAUGGGGGAAACCCUGAUGGUGCGACGCCGCGUGGGGGAAUGAAGGUCUUCGGAUUGUAAACCCCUGUCAUGUGGGAGCAAAUUAAAAAGAUAGUACCACAAGAGGAAGAGACGGCUAACUCUGUGCCAGCAGCCGCGGUAAUACAGCGGUCUCAAGCGUUGUUCGGAAUCACUGGGCGUAAAGCGUGCGUAGGCUGUUUCGUAAGUCGUGUGUGAAAGGUGCGGGCUCAACCCGCGGACGGCACAUGAUACUGCGAGACUAGAGUAAUGGAGGGGGAACCGGAAUUCGCGGUGUAGCAGCGAAAUGCGUAGAUAUCGAGAGGAACACUCGUGGCGAAGGCGGGUUCCUGGACAUUAACUGACGCUGAGGCACGAAGGCCAGGGGAGCGAAAGGGAUUAGAUACCCUAGUAGUC
This 446-nucleotide ribosomal RNA is filed under the name uncultured bacterium. Its description in RNAcentral is "partial 16S ribosomal RNA". It matches the Rfam family "Bacterial small subunit ribosomal RNA", at positions 338 to 795 of the family's 1533-position model. The record is from RNAcentral.